UACGAAGGGGGCAAGCGUUGCUCGGAUUUAUUGGGCGUAAAGGGUGUGUAGGUGGUUUUACAAGUUAGAUGUGGAAGCCCAGGGCUUAACCCUGGAAUUGCAUUUAAAACUGUAAAACUUGAAGAUCACAGAGGUAAGCAGAAUUCCCAGUGUAGAGGUGAAAUUCGUAGAUAUUGGGAAGAAUACCAACGGCGUAGGCAGCUUACUGGGUGAUACUUGACACUGAGGCACGAAAGCGUGGGGAGCAAACAGG
Molecule: ribosomal RNA, 253 nt
Filed under: uncultured bacterium
Lineage: Bacteria
Description: partial 16S ribosomal RNA
Rfam family: Bacterial small subunit ribosomal RNA
Source: RNAcentral